Molecule: ribosomal RNA, 459 nt
Filed under: uncultured bacterium
Lineage: Bacteria
Description: partial 16S ribosomal RNA
Rfam family: Bacterial small subunit ribosomal RNA
Source: RNAcentral
CCUACGGGAGGCUGCAGUGAGGAAUAUUGGUCAAUGGUCGGGAGACUGAACCAGCCAAGCCGCGUGAGGGAUGAAGGUCCAGAGUAUCGUAAACCUCUUUUGUCAGGGAACAAAGGCGGGGACGUGUCCCCGGCUGAGUGUACCUGAAGAACAAGCAUCGGCUAACUCCGUGCCAGCAGCCGCGGUAAUACGGAGGAUGCGAGCGUUAUCCGGUUUUAUUGGGUUUAAAGGGUGCGCAGGCGGUCUGUUAAGAGCGCGGUCAAAGCCCGGGGCUCAACCCGGGCCCGCCGUUGAAACUGGCAGGCUCGAGUGGGAGAGAAGUAGGCGGAAUGCGCGGUGUAGCGGUGAAAUGCAUAGAUAUCGCGCAGAACUCCGAUUGCGAAGGCAGCAUGCCGGCUCCACACUGACGCUGAGGCACGAAAGCGUGGGUAUCGAACAGGAUUAGAUACCCGAGUAGUC